Molecule: long non-coding RNA, 5914 nt
Organism: Felis catus (domestic cat)
Lineage: Eukaryota; Metazoa; Chordata; Mammalia; Carnivora; Felidae
Exons: 2
Source: RefSeq, a predicted model, not a curated record
UAUGCUCAUAAACCUCUUAUGUUUUAAAGUAUGAAUAGUUAUAGGAGAGGAGGAAUAUGAAAUAGCUUUCCUCCACUCUUGUGCCACUUGUGCCUGAUGAAGUGGCAUCUGUUCUUGACCCUGUAGGGGAGCAUCUGAUUUUAACUCAUGCUCCCUCAACUUUAUAAAAGGGAAAGCCAUGAGAAAAAUGUGAAAUUAGCAACAUUUUUUGGUCCCUAAUUAACUUAAUGGGUAUACUAUUGUGCCUCCAAUAUUCAAUGAAGCUCAGCUAGUAACUGAACUUGGCAGAGUAUUAAUCAAGCCACAAAAAUUUUUUGUUUAUUUAUUUAUUUUGAGAGAAAGAGUGUGAGAAGAGGAGGGGCAGAGAGAGGGGGGAGACGGAAUCCCAAGCAGGCUCCGUGCUCUCAGUGUACAGCCCAUCACAGAGCUGGAUCCCGCAAACCAUGAGAUCAUGACAUGAGCCAGAGCCAAGAGGCGGUUGCUCAACUGACCGAACCACCCAGGUGUCCCAAGUCACACAUUUUUAUUAAGGAUUUUCUAUGGUAUCAGCACUGGAAUUUUAGUGAGAGAUGAUAAGAAAGAUAUGUUCUCUGGUUAAUUUAUUCAUCAAAUGCGUCUUGGAAUUUACUCUUGUGCCAUGGGCUCUAGGGAAGGCACAGGUGUUUAAUAUAAGAUCUCUUAUAUUGGUAGAUACCAAAUAUUUCUUAAUACAACAAAAAUACCUUAGUUUUGAUAGUUAAAAUGUCCUUUUCCAUGAAUAAUUUUCAUGUUCUUUUAUUAUGAGAAAUUCAUAUCUCUAAAAAAUGUAGUAAAACUGGGUAUAUGGGAUAUAUAGUCACCAGAUGCCACAGAUAGUUUUUGAAGAGGUAACAGUUGUUAAAAAGUUUCUCAUUGGUAAGGAAGAAAUGAGUUUUAAAUACUAGGUGGUACCAGAGCAAUGUAUUUACAAUAGCUCUAAGUAAGUACUAGAACAAAAAUUGACAGUCAUGCAUAAAUAUGUAUAUAAAAUAAAUAUAUAUAGAAUAAAUUUUAUGUAGAGAGAGAAAAUAUAUAUUCUUCUUUCCUUCUCACUUGUUUACAAAUAUUUAGCUUAUAUUAAGCCCUAUUCCAUGAGAAUUUCCUAGUGGUUAAUCUUGGAUGUAUGAAAGUACAAAGGACUUAAGUGACUCCCUUGAAGGCAGUUGGCUAACCAUUAGCCCAACAGGCAGAUGCAGAUAUACUACAUGUACGAAAGCAGAUAAAUUAAACUUUGCAUUAAACAAUUUUGUGUUAAGCAAGUUGUCUUAUCUCACCUGCAAAGAAGUUCACAGUAAGGAGUCUGGUGUUGCCACUUGCUCUGUGUGACCCUGAUUGGGAGUGCAAAGAAAAUUUUUGUGCUUUUCUAGUUUUCUGCCAGUCUUAAAUAUGCCAAUGCCCUCAUGCUGUUUCUGCUGAGCCUUCAAAAGUAAUUUUGUGGAAGUUUGGAAGAUGAAACAGUGUGUAAUCAAUAAGAAUGUUCUCUAUCCGCAUUGAUCCCACUUAAAUAGCUCUCUCUAUGAAUUCUAGAAACUAUCUGAGAAAUAGCUUAAAAUUAAAUUUAAAUUAUUUAAUCGUGAGAAGUAAAUCCAGAAAAAGUAAAGAGAAUCCAAGGGAGCCGACUAGCACACACCAUUCAGAAAUUUUCUUGUCUUUAAAAUUAUUUUUAAUGUUUAAUUAUUUGAGAGAGAGAGAGAGCAGGGGAGGGGCAGAGAGAGAGGGAGACACAGAAUCUGAAGCAGGCUCUAGACUCUAAACUGUCAGCACAGAACCCGAGGCAGGGUUCGAACCCACGAACUGUGAGAUUAUGACCAAAGUUGGCUGCUUAACCGACUAAGUCACCCAAGCAACCCCAGAAAUUUUCCUGUCUUAAAGAUAAAAAAAAGAAAUUUUCUUGUCUUUUGAGCAAUAACCUGGAAGAUAAUCCAUUAAUCACUGAAGGAAUUUUAAUCUGGUAGUAUGGACAUCUUUAACAAAAAUCACUGGAACAUAUUUAUUCUCCCUGGAAAACUGGUGUGUGUGUGUGUGUGUGUGUGUGUGUGUGUGUGUGCGCGCGCGCGCACGCGCAUGCACAAACAAACCCAACGUACCUUUAAUUUUGUUUAAAUAAUGUUUAAGUAAUAUAUUAAAUAAAUAUACAUAAAUGUGAAAUUACAAUACUUUAAAAGGAGGCUUUAAAAUGCUAAACACUAAAUCUGUCUAUAAGCAGACUAAAGCAUUUUAUUCCAAUAACUUUUCUGCGUACGGUUUAUCUCACAUAACACUUAUGCUCCAGUUUCCUUGAAAGUAAAGGAUAUACGUUUAAAGCCAAUGCAUUAUUGAAUAAUGCAGAAAGCUUAAUAAGUUAUUGGUUUUUAGGACUAUUCAUUAAUAAGAAAGUUGAGGAGAAAGGAAUAAUUAUAAAUAUUCUUUUGAAAUAUAAAUUGAUGACCUAACAAAGUUUUUCACUGUUUAUUAAAAUCUGUUUUAUGUGGGCCUUUUUCUUUUCCAGGUGUGGGUUUUUUUGUUAUUUCCAAAUUCACUGUGGUCAUGAGAGAAGCUAUUAAGUACUGAGAAAGUCAGAUUCAGCUGUCUGCUUUAAUGUGAAUCACACCAUGAUUGUGGAUCUUUGAAAAAGCAUGAUGGGAACAAUUUUUUUAUAGAAUUACAUAAUAUUAGACCCUUUUUGAAGUUAGCAAAGUUGACUUAAUUACUAAAAAGAAAACAAUAAACAUUUAUUUUUCUUUAUAAACAUCAUAGAAACUUUGUAGAAUACUUACAUUUACAAUGGAUAAUAUGGUUAUAUUUGUAGCUAUUAAAGUUAUAAAUUAUUAAGCUUAUGUGAAUUUUAGAAUCUCACAUGUAGUUUGUGGAUAAUGUUUUUAUUAAAACAUACUGUGUUUUUCUAUCUUUCUGUUCAUUUUGAAAAGUAAGGAAAGAUUAUUUUAAGACCUGGUCCUGGCACUUUGCAAGUCUCUUCAGUUUAUAUGGUAGUCCUUCAAAGGCUUGUGAAAAAUUCUUCCAAAAAGAUUGCUGAGGCUGCAAAGAAACCUAAUUGAACUAACUUCCAGAAAGUGGGGACCCCUCACUAGAAGAGGAAAGACAGCGGCUUCCUUCUAUAGCAGGAUGGCGGGGCGGGGAGGCCAGGCAGCCGGGAGAAAUUUUUUCAGCAACAUGUGGGUGAGUGUGACCGAUUAGAUUUCCAAGCGUCCGACCACAGAGGCAACAUCUACCACUGAGUCCCAGGAACCCAUUCUAAUUUCUUUACAAGUAAUAUCACUUAAUUAGCACAGUAAUGCUGUGUUACCACUACCUAUAUACAAUUUUUCUUCCUGUUUUACAAAGAGAGUACCUGAGGUGGAGAGGUCAUCCACCCAAACUUAUGAGUGGGAUCCAGGAUUUAUGUUCAGCCAGUGUGACCUCAUAGCUCUCAGUCUUAGCUCUGGUGCUAUUCUGCUUCCCAGUAAAUAUUUAGUCAAAGGUUAUUCAUCAGUAUAGCCUGAUGAAGUUAUUUACUAACUGAAUGAACCUAAAUUAUCAAGCGCCUUUCCCACUUUCUCUACAAGGAAGCAAAUUCAAUACAUAUAAUUUGAAAUUUAAGAGCAUUGAAAAAAUAGGACAACCAGUUUAUUUUAUAGAACCAGCUUUCUAUGGAUGCAGGUGCUGGGUUUUCUCCAGAAUUCUGAUGUUUAAGAUGGUGCAUAUUUGUUUUAGAUUUAACGACUAUUCUCUGUUCCAGUAGUAUCCAAGAAUUAAUUUGCAUGCCAAUUUAAAUUCUAUCAAUAAUAUGUGUAAUUCUCCCUCUCCUCAUUGUAGAGACCUACACCUUGUAUCCAAAGGGGAUGGUGGAGGUAAGUAGUACUUUCUUUUCUGUGCAAAUGUGUUAGCAUACUUCCAAGGACCAACUCAUACUGAAAUGAAGUGACUAGAUACUUGGCAGAAAAAUGUGGACAUUUGGGAUUUUUAUAAAUUGCUUCCUCAAUUUUCUCCACCCUUUAAAAUAUAGAAUAUAUAGUGUGUCACCCACCACCCAAAUAUCUGAAAGUCUUACACUGUCUGAAUAAAAACUAAGUGAAUAUUUUGCCUGAAUUGUUAUAAUCAACUUCCCAGACACCUAUAGCAAUAAAGUACUAUAGAGUUAGCAAUGGUCUUGUGAAGGAUUAUGAAGGGCUUAAACUUUUCCAUAUUUGAGGUGUUCCCCCAAUUUUAUUUCUGGGAGUACUUUUUGCUAGGGGUUUCCAAACAAAAGGAAGAAAUGGUGCUGCCAGAAGAAUCUCUGAGGGGGCAGGGACAGGCCCUUCCAGAGAAGUCUGCUGCCUGCCAGGAAUCUCAGCCAACCUGUUUUAGGCAGUUUUUAGAAAGAAUUGUAAAAUAAGAAAUGGACAGUGCAGUGAUGAGAAUCACUUUUACAUCACCCCCAAACCCCAUUUCCUGAAAUGCCCACCUCCUUGAUAAUAUCUAACAUUUAAAUAGUGUUUUAAUACUUUACAAAGACUGUCAUAUAGCAGCCAAACCUUAAUCUUGAAAUCCAUCCCCCACUUGCCAUCACUGGUUUUCCCAAGGCUUUGAUAUUUCAUUUAUUUGCAUUGUUGGUUCUCUUGUUUCCAUCUUCUAGUCAUUUUUCUUUGGCCUUCUGUUCUUCCUUUUGCAAUUUUAAUUAUUGACAAUGAUUUUUGAGUCUCCCCUGAGCUCUGAUGUCACACAGUUGGCACAGAGUACACAGUUAAAUAAUUCUUCAAAACUGAAUCAGUCUCUGAUAGGGAUGUCCACUUGGAAGUCACAGCAUCAUCUCAAAGCCUGACACCAACAUGUUGUCUUGUAAAAUAUCUGAUGUGUCUGUUAACAAUAGGGAGAACUAACAUUUAUUAUGUGUCAUGUAUUUUCAAUAAAUUAUUUACCUCUCACAACAAUCCUAGGAAAUAGGUGAAUGAAGAAUGAAGAAACAGUCCCAAACAGGGACUGAGCAAGUUAAGGAAUGGUGAUCUGAACUCAGGUCAUCUAACUCAAACCAGAGUCCCUUAUAUAUCACAUCAUAAGUCCUCCGGCCUCUUAUAUGAAAAGUCACUUAACCCCUCUCAGUUCUGCUGUUUCCACCUGUCCAGUAGAGGCCUGAUGAUAAACACAGCCAAAGACAGGACCUGAAUUGAUAGGUAAUUAAGGAUGAGCAAAAAGGAUUGCACACUCAGCAAAAUCAAAGAUAAUAGACUUACAACUGAAAAUACAAAGAAAGAGAUUUUUCAAACCGAAGUCAUGAUUUAUGUCAUUUGAAACAAAUUCUGAAAUAAUACAAAUAUAUUAACUUUUCCUGAUUUUGUUUGGGAUCUGUUUUCAGGACCAUGUCUCAGAUUCUAUGUAAAAACAACAAAAAAACAAAAACACUUGAAGAGGCAACAAAGACAAUAUAUUUCAUUAAAAAUUUUAUUUUUAGAGCCCAUCAAUGGGCAAAUCCCAAACAGUAGCCAUACAGAGUAUUUAAGAACAUUUUAAUAUUUCUUUCUAUCCAUCUUUGUUUUCCUUUCCACAAACAAACAUACUGGAUUAAAGCAACAAUACUCUUAACCCCAAAUUCAAUGCCUGAGUACUUUCAAUAUCUAUUUUGAACACAUAAUAAAGCAGAGGCAGUUAAUUUUAUUUCCACUCGGAGCUUAGCAAUUACUUUAGCUUCACAUUCUUCUAUCACAAAUUAUAACCAAAUGGCCUACCUAAGCAGCUAAAAUCAUAAAAUUAUUAUAAGCCAAGUCAAUGGUAUGUAUAAAGUUAACAAAAAACAACAACUAGACUAGUAUACAUUUGUUUUGGGCCCUACAAGAAAUAUGCCAAAAUAACAAGCUUUAGUAAAAGAUGAGGUCCUUGGGCAGAGGAGAACAAGAAGUCCUAUCAUCAAAAAUUUUGAGGAAAACUUAGGUAAGAGGAAAUCAGC